AUAUAUAUAUAUCACCUUUCAGUAAGUAUUUGGUAAAUCAUUUAUCUGCCAGAACAGCGCUGGGAGCAGACACCAAACUCUCCCAAACCAAGAGCCCCGCCACGAGGUGAGCCUCCCGCCCCGCGAGCUCGCAGCUCCUCUCCCAGCUGGGCUCCAGGACGCCUGCCUGGGAUCAGGGCCCUUCUCCUGAGGUAACAACCUGCCCUCGAGAGCUCCCAGCCGGGAUAAACACCGCACACAUCCUUCCGAACUGCCCUGGCUGCGGACGUGCACUCAGUGCAGGGGAGGAGGCUGAGCCGCCUCCACACAGCCCUGGCUCUCUCCCCAGGGCGAGCAGAUUCAUAAUGUGGUAUCCGAAGUCCAUGAGCACCAUCCUGUGGCUGCAGCUAGUCAGAGUAUUCUGAGAACAGUAAAAGGUCCUGAGGAUCCCAGUGGCUGCAUGCUGAGACUUCAUCGACCGUCUCGAGAGAGUGCUGAAUCUGGUGGGCAGGUCCUGGGACACUGCCAGCAUGGAGCAAGCCUUGGCUGCCUGCCUCUCCUCAGCCUUGCCAAGCUGCCCUGCAGAUGUACAUCCACACCCCUUGAUUUUCCUGCUGGGAGAAUCGCCCGCUGGCCAAACCAAAGCCCCGCUCCCUCGCAGGAGCUGCCUGCACCAGGGCUGGACAGCUGAGCCGGUGUUGUUCAGGAGCUGGGAUGAGGAUCACUGCAGGAUGCUUCUACGGGAUGUUGGAGACUGGCUGCAUGCACGGGUGUGGAAUUGCACAAUUACCUUAAAGCCAAGUAUUAAAUAAAAGCAUUGCAUACCUAUCACUAA
Pseudopipra pipra is the source of this 814-nucleotide long non-coding RNA. RefSeq lists it as uncharacterized. Lineage: Eukaryota; Metazoa; Chordata; Aves; Passeriformes; Pipridae. The transcript is spliced from 4 exons. The record is from RefSeq and is a predicted model, not a curated record.